RNAcentral lists this transfer RNA (68 nucleotides) under Lepidotrema longipenis. RNAcentral describes it as "tRNA-Arg". Lineage: Eukaryota; Metazoa; Platyhelminthes; Monogenea; Dactylogyridea; Diplectanidae. The record is from RNAcentral.
GUUAAUAAACUAAAUAAAUUACACUUAUAUUUCGAUUAUAAGGUUGGGUGAAUAUUACUCUGUUAAUA